This 25-nucleotide unclassified non-coding RNA is filed under the name Mus musculus (house mouse). RNAcentral describes it as "oocyte_clustered_small_RNA6963". The record is from RNAcentral. Lineage: Eukaryota; Metazoa; Chordata; Mammalia; Rodentia; Muridae.
UGUUGAAUGAGGUAAGCCGCAGGUC